GACGAACGCUGGCGGCGUGCCUAAUACAUGCAAGUCGAGCGGAAGUUGGAGAGCUUGCUCUUCAACUUUAGCGGCGGACGGGUGAGUAACACGUGGGCAACCUGCCCUGCAGAUCGGGAUAACUCCGGGAAACCGGUGCUAAUACCGAAUAGUUUUCGCCACCUCCUGGUGGCGUACGGAAAGACGGUUUCGGCUGUCACUGCAGGAUGGGCCCGCGGCGCAUUAGCUAGUUGGUGGGGUAACGGCCCACCAAGGCAACGAUGCGUAGCCGACCUGCGAGGGUGAUCGGCCACACUGGGACUGAGACACGGCCCAGACUCCUACGGGAGGCAGCAGUAGGGAAUCUUCCGCAAUGGACGAAAGUCUGACGGAGCAACGCCGCGUGAGUGACGAAGGUUUUCGGAUCGUAAAACUCUGUUGUGAGGGAAGAACAAGUACCACUUAACUACUGGUACCUUGACGGUACCUCACCAGAAAGCCACGGCUAACUACGUGCCAGCCGCCGCAGUAA
This 511-nucleotide ribosomal RNA is filed under the name uncultured bacterium. RNAcentral describes it as "partial 16S ribosomal RNA". It matches the Rfam family "Bacterial small subunit ribosomal RNA", at positions 28 to 523 of the family's 1533-position model. The record is from RNAcentral.